RNAcentral lists this ribosomal RNA (1485 nucleotides) under uncultured prokaryote. RNAcentral's name for it is "partial 16S ribosomal RNA". It matches the Rfam family "Bacterial small subunit ribosomal RNA". The record is from RNAcentral.
AGAGUUUGAUCCUGGCUCAGGACGAACGUUGGCGGUGCGCUUAAUGCAUGCAAGUCGAGGGAGAAGCAGUUGUUCCGUAAGGUUCGACUGUGGAAACCGGCGAACGGGUGCGUAACACGUGAGAAACCUGCCCCCCAGAUCGGGAUAGCCCAGGGAAACUUGGAUUAAUACCGGAUACUCUCUUUGGAUCGCAUGAUCCGUUGAGGAAACAGUCCGCUGCUGGGGGAUGGUCUCGCGGCCUAUCAGGUAGUUGGUGAGGUAACGGCUCACCAAGCCUAAGACGGGUAGCUGGUCUGAGAGGACGAUCAGCCACACUGGAACUGAGACACGGUCCAGACUCCUACGGGAGGCAGCAGCAGGGAAUAUUGCACAAUGGGCGAAAGCCUGAUGCAGCGACACCGCGUGCGGGAUGACGGCCUUAGGGUUGUAAACCGCUUUCGGGAGGGAAGAAAAUGACGGUACCUCCUAAAGAAGCUCCGGCCAACUACGUGCCAGCAGCCGCGGUAAUACGUAGGGAGCAAACGUUGUCCGGAUUUAUUGGGCGUAAAGGGCUCGUAGGCGGUUCAACAAGUCGAUCGUGAAAGCCCGGGGCUCAACCCCGGGAGGCCGGUCGAAACUGUUGUGACUAGAGUUCGGUAGAGGUGAGUGGAAUUCUCGGUGUAGCGGUGGAAUGCGCAGAUAUCGAGAGGAACACCAUUAGCGAAGGCGGCUCACUGGGCCGAUACUGACGCUGAGGAGCGAAAGCGUGGGGAGCAAACAGGAUUAGAAACCCUGGUAGUCCACGCCGUAAACGAUGAACACUAGGUGUAGCGGACUGAUUCAUGUCUGCUGUGCCGCAGCUAACGCAUUAAGUUCUCCGCCUGGGGAGUACGCCGGCAACGGUAAAACUCAAAGGAAUUGACGGGGACCCGCACAAGCGGUGGAGCAUGUGGUUUAAUUAGAUGCAACGCGAAGAACCUUACCUGCCCUUGACAUACUCGGAACUUUCCAGAGAUCGAUUGGUGCCUUCGGGAACCGAGAUACAGGCUUAUGGCUGUCGUCAGCUCGUGUCGUGAGAUGUUGGGUUAAGUCCCGCAACGAGCGCAACCCUUGUCCCUAGUUGCCAUCCCUUCGGGUGGGAACUCUAGGGAGACUGCCGGUGACAAACCGGAGGAAGGUGGGGACGACGUCAAGUCAUCAUGGCCCUUAUGGGCUGGGCUACACACGUGCUACAAUGGGGAGUACAGAGGGUUGCCAGCCAGCGAUGGUGAGCCAAUCCCUUAAAGCUUCUCGUAGUCCGGAUCGGAGUCUGCAACUCGACUCCGUGAAGUCGGAAUCGCUAGUAAUCGCGAAUCAGAAUGUCGCGGUGAAUACGUUCCCGGGUCUUGUACACACCGCCCGUCACACCAUGGAAGUAGGUUGCACCAGAAGUAGGUAGCUUAACCCUCGGGAGAGCGCUUACCACGGUGUGGCUUAUGACUGGGGUGAAGUCGUAACAAGGUAGCC